GCAAGACGGAAAGACCCCGUGAACCUUUACUAUAGCUUGACACUGAACAUUGAGCCUUGAUGUGUAGGAUAGGUGGGAGGCUUUGAAGCGUGGACGCCAGUCUGCGUGGAGCCGACCUUGAAAUACCACCCUUUAAUGUUUGAUGUUCUAACGUGGACCCGUGAUCCGGGUUGCGGACAGUGUCUGGUGGGUAGUUUGACUGGGGCGGUCUCCUCCUAAAGAGUAACGGAGGAGCACGAAGGUUGGCUAAUCCUGGUCGGACAUCAGGAGGUUAGUGCAAUGGCAUAAGCCAGCUUGACUGCGAGCGUGACGGCGCGAGCAGGUGCGAAAGCAGGUCAUAGUGAUCCGGUGGUUCUGAAUGGAAGGGCCAUCGCUCAACGGAUAAAAGGUACUCCGGGGAUAACAGGCUGAUACCGCCCAAGAGUUCAUAUCGACGGCGGUGUUUGGCACCUCGAUGUCGGCUCAUCACAUCCUGGGGCUGAAGUAGGUCCCAAGGGUAUGGCUGUUCGCCAUUUAAAGUGGUACGCGAGCUGGGUUUAGAACGUCGUGAGACAGUUCGGUCCCUAUCUGCCGUGGGCGCUGGAGAACUGAGGGGGGCUGCUCCUAGUACGAGAGGACCGGAGUGGACGCAUCACUGGUGUUCGGGUUGUCAUGCC
RNAcentral lists this ribosomal RNA (656 nucleotides) under Salmonella enterica subsp. enterica serovar Stanley. RNAcentral's name for it is "partial 23S ribosomal RNA". It matches the Rfam family "Bacterial large subunit ribosomal RNA", at positions 2075 to 2730 of the family's 2925-position model. The record is from RNAcentral. Lineage: Bacteria; Pseudomonadati; Pseudomonadota; Gammaproteobacteria; Enterobacterales; Enterobacteriaceae.